AGAGUUUGAUCCUGGCUCAGGAUGAACGCUGGCGGCGUGCCUAAUACAUGCAAGUCGAACGAAGGUAGCAAUACCUUAGUGGCGAACGGGUGAGUAACACGUAGGUAACCUGCCUUUCAGUUGGGGAUAACCGAGGGAAACUUUGGCUAAUACCGAAUUCGUGCUUCGAAGGCAUCUUCGGAGCAUAAAAGGGGCUUCAAAGCCUCGCUGAUUGAUGGACCUGCGGCGCAUUAGUUAGUUGGUGAGAUAACAGCCCACCAAGACGAGGAUGCGUAGCCGACCUGAGAGGGUGAUCGGCCACACUGGAACUGAGACACGGUCCAGACUCCUACGGGAGGCAGCAGUAGGGAGUUUUCGGCAAUGGGGGAAACCCUGACCGAGCAACGCCGCGUGAGUGAUGAAGGUCUUCGGAUUGUAAAGCUCUGUUAUAAGGGAAGAACGGCAGUUAGAGGAAAUGCUAGCUGUUUGACGGUACUUUAUGAGAAAGCCACGGCUAACUACGUGCCAGCAGCCGCGGUAAUACGUAGGUGGCAAGCGUUAUCCGGAAUUAUUGGGCGUAAAGAGUGAGCAGGCGGCAGUUUAAGUUUGGAGUCAAAGCGAGGGGCUCAACCCCUUAACGCUCUGAAAACUGAACAGCUAGAGUGCGAGAGAGGUAAGUGGAAUUCCAUGUGUAGCGGUGAAAUGCGUAGAUAUAUGGAGGAACACCAGUGGCGAAGGCGACUUACUAGCUCGAUACUGACGCUCAGUCACGAAAGCGUGGGUAGCAAAUAGGAUUAGAUACCCUAGUAGUCCACGCUGUAAACGAUGAGAACUAAGUAUUGCCGUGAGGCAGUGCUGAAGCUAACGCAUUAAGUUCUCCGCCUGGGGAGUACGGUCGCAAGACUGAAACUCAAAUGAAUUGACGG
This 905-nucleotide ribosomal RNA is filed under the name uncultured bacterium. Its description in RNAcentral is "bacterial SSU rRNA". It matches the Rfam family "Bacterial small subunit ribosomal RNA", at positions 8 to 916 of the family's 1533-position model. The record is from RNAcentral.